AUUGAACGCUGGCGGCAUGCCUUACACAUGCAAGUCGAACGGCAGCGCGGGGCAACUUGGCGGCGAGUGGCGAACGGGUGAGUAAUAUAUCGGAACGUGCCCUGGAGUGGGGGAUAACGUAGCGAAAGUUACGCUAAUACCGCAUACGAUCUCAGGAUGAAAGCAGGGGACCUUCGGGCCUUGUGCUCCUGGAGCGGCCGAUAUCUGAUUAGCUAGUUGGUGGGGUAAAAGCCUACCAAGGCGACGAUCAGUAGCUGGUCUGAGAGGACGACCAGCCACACUGGAACUGAGACACGGUCCAGACUCCUACGGGAGGCAGCAGUGGGGAAUUUUGGACAAUGGGGGCAACCCUGAUCCAGCAAUGCCGCGUGUGUGAAGAAGGCC
RNAcentral lists this ribosomal RNA (384 nucleotides) under uncultured bacterium. Its description in RNAcentral is "bacterial SSU rRNA". It matches the Rfam family "Bacterial small subunit ribosomal RNA", at positions 30 to 416 of the family's 1533-position model. The record is from RNAcentral.